UACGUAGGGUGCAGGCGUUAAUCGGAAUUACUGGGCGUAAAGCGUGCGCAGGCGGUUUGCUAAGACAGGUGUGAAAUCCCCGGGCUUAACCUGGGAACUGCGCUUGUAACUGGCAAGCUGGAGUGUGGCAGAGGGGGGUGGAAUUCCACGUGUAGCAGUGAAAUGCGUAGAGAUGUGGAGGAACACCGAUGGCGAAGGCAGUCCCCUGGGCUAACACUGACGCUCAUGCACGAAAGCGUGGGGAGCAAACAGG
RNAcentral lists this ribosomal RNA (253 nucleotides) under uncultured bacterium. Its description in RNAcentral is "partial 16S ribosomal RNA". It matches the Rfam family "Bacterial small subunit ribosomal RNA", at positions 524 to 776 of the family's 1533-position model. The record is from RNAcentral.